This 406-nucleotide ribosomal RNA is filed under the name uncultured bacterium. RNAcentral's name for it is "partial 16S ribosomal RNA". It matches the Rfam family "Bacterial small subunit ribosomal RNA", at positions 28 to 526 of the family's 1533-position model. The record is from RNAcentral.
GAUGAACGCUAGCUACAGGCUUAACACAUGCAAGUCGAGGGACCGGCGCACGGGUGAGUCACACGUAUCCCCCCUGCCCUUUACUCGGGGAUAGCCUUUCGAAAGCAAGAUUAAUACCCGAUGUAACGGUUGGGGAUGCGUUCCAUUAGGUUGUUGGUGAGGUAACGGCUCACCAAGCCUUCGAUGGAUAGGGGUUCUGCGAGGAAGGUCCCCCACAUUGGAACUGAGACACGGUACAAACUCCGACGGGAGGCAGCAGUGAGUAAGAUUGGUCAAUGGGCGUUAGCCUGAACCAGCCAAGUAGCGUGAAGGAUGAAGGCUUAUGGGUCGUAAACUUCUUUUAUAUAAGAAUAUGUAUUAUAUGAAUAAGGAUCGGCUAACUCCGUGCCAGCAGCCGCGGUAAUAC